Molecule: long non-coding RNA, 300 nt
Filed under: Gossypium barbadense (sea-island cotton)
Lineage: Eukaryota; Viridiplantae; Streptophyta; Magnoliopsida; Malvales; Malvaceae
Description: long non-coding RNA (GBAR_LNC008670)
Source: RNAcentral
GUGGCAUCCCAGGACGUGGUGGUCCGAAAACAGGAACAGCACCAGGGGGAGGCGGCAUUCCAGGGCGUGGGGGUGGUGGAGCAGGCAUUCCAGGGCGUGGUGGUGGUGGACCAGGAGGUCCUCUCAUCAUUGAUCCCGGAGGUGGAACCAUUGGCCUCUGACCAUAUUGUGGUGGUGGGACAGGGAAUUGUUGAGGUGGCCUUACUCCAAAAGCAGGUGGUGGUACCUGUGGAGGAGGACCACGUUGCAUCUGAGGAGCCUGUGGUUGACCAGGGUAACCACCAGGUGGCAUUUGUCCAG